AGAGUUUGAUCAUGGCUCAGGAUGAACGCUGGCGGUGUGCCUAAUACAUGCAAGUCGUGCGAGUAGUUUACUACUAGCGGCGAACGGGUGAGUAACACGUAUCUAACCUACCCAUCAGUCUGGAAUAACAUCGAGAAAUUGGUGCUAAUACUGGAUAGCUAAUAUUUACUUAUGUUUAUAUUACUAAAGGCGCGUUUGCGUCGCUGAUGAAUGGGGAUGCGCAGCAUUAGAUAGUUGGUAGGGUAAGAGCCUACCAAGUCAACGAUGCUUAGCCGGCCUGAGAGGGUGAUCGGCCACACUGGAACUGAGACACGGUCCAGACUCCUACGGGAGGCAGCAGUAGGGAAUUUUCGACAAUGGGGGAAACCUUGAUCGAGCAACACCGCGUGAGGGAUGAAGGAUUUCGGUCUGUAAACCUCUGUUGUAAGGGAAGAACAAGUGGGAUAGGAAAUGAUUCCACCCUGACGGUACCUUACCAGAAAGCGACGGCUAACUUCGUGCCAGCAGCCGCGGUAAUACGAAGGUCGCAAGCGUUAUCCGGAUUUACUGGGCGUAAAGAGUGCGCAGCUGGUCUAUCAAGUCUGAUGUUAAAGUCUGGAGCUCAACUCCAGUCCGCAUUGGAAACUAGUAGACUCGAGUUAUAGAGAGGUAAGUGGAAUUCCUAGUGUAUCGGUGGAAUGAGUAGAUAUUAGGAGGAACACCAGUGGCGAAGGCGACUUACUGGCUAUAUACUGACAGUCAUGCACGAGAGCGUGGGGAGCAAACAGGAUUAGAUACCCUGGUAGUCCACGCCGUAAACGUUGAGUACUAGGUGUUGGCCAUAAGGGCAGUACCGCAGCUAACGCAUUAAGUACUCCGCCUGGGUAGUAUGCACGCAAGUGUAAAACUCAAAGGAAUUGACGGGGACCCGCACAAGCGGAGGAGCAUGUGGUUUAAUUCGAUGCACGCGAANANCUUACCAGGACUUGACAUACUAUGC
This 979-nucleotide ribosomal RNA is filed under the name uncultured bacterium. Its description in RNAcentral is "bacterial SSU rRNA". It matches the Rfam family "Bacterial small subunit ribosomal RNA", at positions 8 to 994 of the family's 1533-position model. The record is from RNAcentral.